RNAcentral lists this ribosomal RNA (422 nucleotides) under uncultured bacterium. RNAcentral describes it as "bacterial SSU rRNA". It matches the Rfam family "Bacterial small subunit ribosomal RNA", at positions 355 to 774 of the family's 1533-position model. The record is from RNAcentral.
UGAGGAAUAUUGGGCAAUGCCCGAAAGGGUGACCCAGCAACGCCGCGUGGAGGAUGAAGGUCGUAAGAUUGUAAACUCCUGUUAGAGGGGAAGAAUAACUAAGUUUGGAGUUUAGUAUGACUGUACCCUCAGAGAAAGCCCCGGCUAACUACGUGCCAGCAGCCGCGGUAAUACGUAGGGGGCAAGCGUUGUCCGGAUUUACUGGGUGUAAAGGGCGCGCAGGCGGAAUGGAAAGUCAGUGGUGAAAUCCUACAGCUUAACUGUAGAACUGCCUUUGAUACUCUCAUUCUUGAGUUCGGGAGAGAGAGACGGAAUUCCAGGUGUAGUGGUGAAAUACGUAGAUAUCUGGAAGAACACCAGUUGCGAAGGCGGUCUCUUGGUCCGAUACUGACGCUGAGGCGCGAAAGCGUGGGGAGCAAACA